UGGGCCGGUUGACGGGUCUAAGUGAGCUAUACGAAUGCUUAGUGCAUGUGUGUGAGUCUUGCGUGUCAAGGGAUGCACUCUCGUGCCGUGGGCGUGCGAGGAGGACGACAAAGGUUAAAGUAAAGUAAAAAAUGGAGGAGGAGAGGGUGCGUAGGCGCAGACCUGAGGUGGUACCGCCGUCAGGCUUCGCGUCGGUAGAGGCGACGGCGUCAGCAACGCGGCGCGCCGAAACCGUCCGCGGCAGCAGAACAGGGGACGAAGCGCCGCGGACGUGCUCCGCGUAGUCCUCAGUGGCGGAGGCGAAGGCCCUUCUACGAGGGCGCGAGACGGGAUGUACGAUCGCGGAGGUGGUGACCCCGCGGGCUGAGGCUGCUCCGGCGACGCCACUCAUAAGCGGGGCAACCGCGUAAGGUAGCUCGUUCAACGUCCGGCCGGAAAGAAAGAAUCAAGGAACACGUCCUUAGAAACCACCUCCGCCUCGACUCGUUUGAGCGGACGGGUUAGACGAUAAUGGGCGAGCAUUCGAGCUAUCUAGUAGUCAGUCGCGGUAGGUUUAGGCUAAGAUGGGAACUUACAAGAUGGACGUUCUUUAACAAGAGAUUCCUACUAAUGACCCUAGACUGACACCGUCAACCAAGAUGACUCAUGAGGCUCUGGUACGGACGACGUUGACUCGAAAAGUCCUGGGUUGACCAUAGUAAAGAAAUACUCUCUCCUACCGCGGUUUUAAAGUAUACCCCACCAAAAGGUCCGAAUCUCUUUCUCAAACUCUACCGAUUCCUAAUAAACUUCGGUUUUUCACCUCCCUAAUAUUAACUACGUUCGACACCUUCACCCAAUAAAAGUUCUAAUAAACAAUUUUCGCUUGAUAUAACGGAACAACACCGUGAUCUAAAGAGUCUCUUAUACAACUUCGUUACGUUCCUUAAGUAGUUCGUCCUUUUGUAAAGUCUGCUUGCGAAUCAUAACCACUCUCGACUAUAUAGAUCCGAAGGAAAACACUCACCGAGUUAACUACGAGACGUACGUCCACGACGUUAAGUAACAACCGGUAGGGGUCGAACACGACAACGUCUUUAGUCAGCUCAGGAAGCGGGACCCCCACAAAAACAACCAAGAUGAAAGUAUCGUCUACAAGAAGGUGGUCAUUAGGGUAAUGACUCCUAACCUGCGGGCAUGUAACUAGUUUAGUGUCCGUUAUUAUGGAAGAAUAGUCUCGACCUCGAACUUCUAGAAACAUCACGUACACCCGACCAAUUAAAAUGUAAACAGUCUUUACCUAAGAUAUAUUACAAGAGACGAUGAUUUCGUUCGAUCAAUUUAUUGACUUCUUGGUGGACUUCGUAAUAGUGUAUCGAGGAACUAAUACGUAACAAGGAGCAUUCGGUUGGAAAGACAGUCGUGACUAUCAAAACGAAUUCCAUACACACUACACUUAUCGCUUUCGCAUGCAAACUGAAGUGACUGCAGUAUCACCCUAACUAGUAUCGUUAAUAAAUACAUUUUCAACUUCUUUUUUAGAAGUACAUUUCGUCACCUCCAGGAAUUGGACAUUUAAAACACGUAAGAACAUAACUAAACUAAGUUCUCGCAACUAGCGGAUCGUCACUACAGCCUGCCAGAAUCACCUCUCAGACACGACUCCAUCCUUGGAGCUUUCUAAAGAGCCAAGGACUGGAGUGGUCAGGAUUUUAUAAACAUCUGAGUUCAAACAACUUUAGAACCUCUACUGACCUGGCAGACUUUACAUUCAAUAGUUACGCGAAAAAAAAAUGCCCAUCAAUAGUUACACGAAACGUUCAUGAAAAUCUCUACUCUUUGG
Molecule: ribosomal RNA, 1822 nt
Filed under: Triticum aestivum (bread wheat)
Lineage: Eukaryota; Viridiplantae; Streptophyta; Magnoliopsida; Poales; Poaceae
Description: partial small subunit ribosomal RNA
Source: RNAcentral